UGUGCUAGCAAUGAGCGAGGCUGCGUGG
This 28-nucleotide non-coding RNA is filed under the name Homo sapiens (human). The record is from RNAcentral. Lineage: Eukaryota; Metazoa; Chordata; Mammalia; Primates; Hominidae.